This 504-nucleotide ribosomal RNA is filed under the name uncultured bacterium. RNAcentral's name for it is "partial 16S ribosomal RNA". It matches the Rfam family "Bacterial small subunit ribosomal RNA", at positions 30 to 523 of the family's 1533-position model. The record is from RNAcentral.
AUUGAACGCCGGCGGCAGGCCUAACACAUGCAAGUCGAACGGUAGCACAGAGAGCUUGCUCUUGGGUGACGAGUGGCGGACGGGUGAGUAAUGUCUGGGAAACUGCCCGAUGGUGGGGGAUAACUACUGGAAACGGUAGCUAAUACCGCAUAACGUCUUCGGACCAAAGUGGGGGACCUUCGGGCCUCACACCAUCGGAUGUGCCCAGAUGGGAUUAGCUAGUAGGUCGGGUAAUGGCUCACCUAGGCGACGAUCCCUAGCUGGUCUGAGAGGCUGACCAGCCACCCGGCAACUGCGACACGGGCCAGAUUCCUACGGGAGGCAGCAGUGGGGAAUAUUGCACAAUGGGCGACAGCCUGAUGCAGCCAUGCCGCGUGUAUGAAGAAGGCCUUCGGGUUGUAAAGUACUUGCAGCGGGGAGGAAGGCGAUGGAGUUAAUAGCUUCAUCGAUUGACGUUACACGCAGAAGAAGCACCGGCUAACGCCGUGCCAGCCGCCGCGGUAA